RNAcentral lists this microRNA (22 nucleotides) under Cricetulus griseus (Chinese hamster). RNAcentral describes it as "cgr-miR-450b-5p". Its record names the gene cgr-miR-450b-5p. The record is from miRBase by way of RNAcentral. RNAcentral also lists the same sequence under 1 other name. Lineage: Eukaryota; Metazoa; Chordata; Mammalia; Rodentia; Cricetidae.
UUUUGCAGUAUGUUCCUGAAUA